Molecule: ribosomal RNA, 942 nt
Filed under: Exiguobacterium sp.
Lineage: Bacteria; Bacillati; Bacillota; Bacilli; Caryophanales
Description: bacterial SSU rRNA
Rfam family: Bacterial small subunit ribosomal RNA
Source: RNAcentral
GCGGCAGCUAUACAUGCAAGUCGAGCGCAGGAAGCUCACGGAACUCUUCGGAGGGAAGUGAAGGGAAUGAGCGGCGGACGGGUGAGUAACACGUAAGGAACCUGCCCCAAGGAUUGGGAUAACUCCGAGAAAUCGGAGCUAAUACCGAAUAGUUCUUCAGACCGCAUGGUCUGAUGAUGAAAGGCGCUCCGGCGUCACCUUGGGAUGGCCUUGCGGUGCAUUAGCUAGUUGGUGGGGUAAUGGCCCACCAAGGCGACGAUGCAUAGCCGACCUGAGAGGGUGAUCGGCCACACUGGGACUGAGACACGGCCCAGACUCCUACGGGAGGCAGCAGUAGGGAAUCUUCCACAAUGGACGAAAGUCUGAUGGAGCAACGCCGCGUGAGUGAUGAAGGUUUUCGGAUCGUAAAACUCUGUUGUAAGGGAAGAACAAGUACGAGAGGUAAUGCUCGUACCUUGACGGUACCUUGCGAGAAAGCCACGGCUAACUACGUGCCAGCAGCCGCGGUAAUACGUAGGUGGCAAGCGUUGUCCGGAAUUAUUGGGCGUAAGCGCGCGCAGGCGGCCUUUUAAGUCUGAUGUGAAAGCCCCCGGCUCAACCGGGGGAGGGUCAUUGGAAACUGGAAGGCUUGAGUACAGAAGAGAAGAGUGGAAUUCCAUGUGUAGCGGUGAAAUGCGUAGAGAUGUGGAGGAACACCAGUGGCGAAAGGCGACUCUUUGGUCUGUAACUGACGCUGAGGCGCGAAAGCGUGGGGAGCAAACAGGAUUAGAUACCCUGGGUAGUCCACGCCGUAACGAUGAGUGCUAGUGUUGGGGGGGGGUUUCCGGCCCCUCAGUGCUGAAGGCUACGGCAAUUUAAGCACUCCGCCUUGGGGGAGUAACGGCUGCAGCCUGGAACUUCAAGCAAUUGGACGGGGAACCCGCACAGCGGAUGAGCAAUGUG